GCCUGAAGGACUUCCGGGAACCGCAAAGCACGGUGUGCCUCCGCUGUCCUGAAGAAAAAGCCGCGCGCGGACGACUGGCCGGCCCGCGCUUGCAGCUCCCAGAAGUUGACAGGCAUCCUCCGGUGACCGGUGUGAGUAUGGCAUCAGGAUGAUUUGACUGCAAGCAACAGAAAAAUCAAACAAAAAUGGCCUAAGCCAAGAAGAGAAAUGAUUAUUUCACAUUCCAAGAAGUUUGGGAGUCGAGUGGUUAAACGGCUAAUUAAUCUAGAGCUCAACAGUAUCACCCAGGACCCAUUUUCACUAUGGUGGCUAAAGCUCUGCACCCUUCAGGCUUGCACCAUGGCAGCAGCAGUGACAGUAAAGACACCCUUACACCACAAUGCUCCAUGACCAGGGAGAGGGUCUCCUCUCUCCUGCCCCUUUCUGGAGGCUCCACCGAAGAUUUCUCUUCACAUUCCGUUUCUCAUUCCUGAAGCAGUUGCUGGCAACAGGGAUGGACUUACCGCAAUGGGUACAGAGCAACUAAGAUUCACCACUAGUCUCGCUCUGUCACCCAGGCUGGAGUGCAGUGGUACAAUCUCAGCUCACGGCAAACUCGGCCUUCUAGAUUCACGCCAUUCUCCUGCCUCAGCCUCCCAAGUAGCUGGGACUACAGGCACCCACCACCUGGCCUGGCUAAUUUUUUUUGUAUUUUUAGUAGAGACGGGGUUUCACCAUGUUAGCCAGGAUGCUCUCGAUCUCCUGACGUCGUGAUCCGCCAGCCUCGGCCUCCCAAAGUGCUGGGAUUACAGGCGUGAGCCACAGCGCCCGGCCAAUUUCACAAAUAGAUUUUUUUUCUUACUGUAAAUCUUAGCAAGCUCAGCAUACGAAUUUUUUUUUCCUUAAAUUGAAAGCUUUUACCCUUUCACUUAAAGGCAGCACUUUAUGGCUUCUCUUGGGCAUAUCCAAAUUGCUACCAUCACUACUCGUAUUAGUCCAUUUUCACGCUGCUGAUAAAGACAUACCUGAGACUGAGAAAUUUACCAAAUAAAGAGGUGUACUGGACUUACAGUUCCACAUGGCUGGGGAGGCCUCACAAUCAUGGUGGAAGGCAAGAAGGAGCAAGUCAUGUCUUACAUGGAUGGCAGCUGGCAAAGAGAAAGCUUGUACAGGGAGACUCCCGUUUUGAAAACCAUCAGAUCUUGUGAGACUCAUUCACUAUUACAAGAACAGUGCAGGAAAGAUGCACCCCUGUACUUCAAUCACCUCCCAGCAGGUUCCUCCCACGACAUGUGGGAAUUGUGGGAGUUACAAUUCAAGAUGAGAUUUGGUUGGGGACACAGCCAAACCAUAUCACUACUCUUGUGCUUUGGGGCCAUUAUGAAGUAAAACAAGCAUUAUUUGAACACAAGAACUGCAAUACCACCACAGUAGAUCUGAUAACUGUUGGCUACUAAGUGACUAAGGGGCAGGUGAAGUAUACAGCUUGGAUGCGAUGGACAAAGAGGAAGAUCUACCUCCCAGCUGGGAUGGAGCAGGACGAUGCAAGAUUUCAUCACACUACUCAGAAAGGCAUGCAGUUUAAAGCUCGUAAAUUAUUUCAGGAAUUUUCCAUUUAAUAUUUUCAGGCUGUGGCUGACCGUGAGUAACAAACCCAGGAAAGCGAAACUGCAGAACAGUGGAUGGGAGAAAGGGUGAAUUACUGUAUAUUCAUGAGGGAUAUUAGUCCAUAGUUUCUUUUUUCCCUUUUAACAAAUUUUUGGGUUUUGUAUAUAGUUUGUCUGGUUUUGGUAUCAGGGUAAUACUAGCUUCAUAAAAUGAAUUGGAAAGCGUUUCUUCUGUUUUCCUAAAAAGAUUAUAUGGAAUUAGCAUUCAUUCUUUAAACACUUGGUAGAAAUCUUAAGUAAAACCAUCUGAGCUCGGAGAUUUUUUUGUGUGUGUUAUAAAAUUACAUAUUCAGUUUCCUUAAUAUUUAUAAGAUCAUUUUAAUUAUCUGUGUUUUUCAGUGAAACGGGUCAAUUUUCUGUAUGUUGUCAAAUUAAUAUUUGUAGAAUUGUAUUAGUAUUCUUCAUUAUCCUUUUGAUGUCUGCAGAAUCUGUAAUGGUAUCCCUGUUUUAUUUCUGAUAUUAAUUUGUGCCAUUAUGUCUUUUUUUCUUUGUUGAUCUUGUCAGAAGUUUGUCAAUUUUAUCAAUUUGUUCCAAGAACCAGCUCAUU
Molecule: long non-coding RNA, 2193 nt
Filed under: Homo sapiens (human)
Lineage: Eukaryota; Metazoa; Chordata; Mammalia; Primates; Hominidae
Description: HSALNT0388605
Source: RNAcentral